AAGACUACAGGUUUCUCCAUGGAGCAGCACAGAGGGUGAACAAAGGCAGAAAAGCUGUUCAAUACACAAGAAAAUAACACACACACUGUCUCCACGGUAUCUCACGGCAGACAUAACUUCCUAAACCCACCCACAUCUGCACAGGAACAAAAUUGGAGCUGAAGAAGCAAAAGAGUAAGCUGCACCCUUCUUACUCUGGUCUCUAGAGCUGGGAUUCUUGACUAACGAUGGAAGGGGAAGCAGUGAGAUAUGAAAUGGAUAUGAGAUUAAAGUUUCCAGCAGGACUGAAUUUUAAUAACUGAAAGGACUGGAAAGUGAUGUAGUCUACUGAAGAUAUUAAGAUAUGGAAAAUAGAGAUUUAACAGAGCAUAAUUAAAAGCAGAGUUUGGAGAAAAUUAAA
Molecule: non-coding RNA, 400 nt
Filed under: Pan troglodytes (chimpanzee)
Lineage: Eukaryota; Metazoa; Chordata; Mammalia; Primates; Hominidae
Source: RNAcentral